AAAAACCCUGAAAAGAAAUGUUCCACAAAUACCUUAGUGAAUUGAAUACUUCUCAACAUUUAUUUGUUUGAUUUGCCGUAAUAAACAAACCUGUCAGUUAGCUGCAACAUUGGAAAAGUAUAAAAACGGUUUAUGGUGCUCGGGUGUGAUCAGCAUUGGUGUCGGGGUGUAGUGGGCAGAAAAGACUUGGCCAGGCAGAUGGCUUCUCGGUGGCAGAGCAUUGGGACCUCCGUGCGCCGGAGAUCUCUCCGGCACCAGGAGCAGCUGGAGGACAGCAAGGAGCUGCAGCCUGUGGCCUGUCAUCAGGAGACCUCCUCCAGGGCCCUGGGGUCCCUGUGCAGACAGUUCCAAAGGAGGCUGCCCCUGAAAGCCGUCAACCUCAACCUCCGUGCAGGCCCCUCCUGGAAACCCCAGAGCCAGGGCAGCAGGGCCUCCAAGCAGCAGCUCGCUCAGCUAAGAGUGCCUUGGGUGCCAUGUCCCAGAGAAUCCAGGAGUCCUGCCAAAGUGGCACCAAGUGGCUGGUGGAGACCCAGAUGAAGGCCAGGAGGAGGAAGAGAGGGGCACAGAAGGGCAGUGGAUCCCCAACUCACAGCCUGAGCCAGAAGAGCACUCAGCUGUCUAGAGCUGCCCCUGCCCACUCACCCACAGACCCCUGGGAGAAGGAGCAUCACUGCCUCUCUGCCCGGAUGGGCUCAUGUGCCCACCCAUUACGGCGGUCAAGGCGGGAGGCAGCCUUCCGGAGCCCCUACUCCUCUACAGAGCCCCUCUGCUCUCCCAUUGAGUCUGACAGUGACCUAGAGCCUGUGGGGGCGGGAAUUCAGCACCUUCAGAAGCUGUCCCAAGAGCUAGAAGAAGUCAUCAUGGCAGAAGAGAGUGGUGACAUCAUCUCUCUCAUUCAUGGCUGAGGAAGUGCCUGCAGGAAACAAGCCCUGUCUGACCACCAAGGCUUCACACCCAAGGACGUCUGUUCUUCCGCAUGCGCUUCCUGGAGGAAGUCCCCAGGAGUCAUCAGUACCCCUGGGCCCCUGCUAAUGAGGACCUGACUAACAAGGGGCCUGGAGCCCCCCUGCUCCGGCCACAUCUGGACCCAUCGGUGACUGCCAGCCAUAGCCUGAGAGUGUCUUGGGGAGAGUGUCUUGCAGAGGUGGGGAGAAUUGUACCUUCUGCUUUCCCAAGGGACUCUUGAGCUUAGAAACUCAUGAUACACCUGACUUUAAGCUUUGUAUUUGCCUCAUCUGUAAUGUGAAGUGCUAGCAUCAGAUGUUUGAGAGCUCUUAACCGUGUACCCAGGUGUCUGGUUUUGGGGGAGUCAUCUGCAGUCACUCACCAUCUGUGUUUCCGGUGCCAAGGCUCUUGAGGGCCCCACUCUCAUCCCUGCAUUCCCUACCAGGGACUCAGAGGAAGGCAUAGGAGAUAUUUCCAGGCUUAAGACCCUGGGCUCACAGGUACCUAUUUAUAUGCUCGAUGCAGAGUGCUGUGGGUAUGCCGGGAGGGGUAGCCUGUUCAAGAGCAAUUUCUGCCCUUUGUAAAUUAUUUUAAGAAAUCUGCUUUGUCAUUUUAUUAAAAAGAAACCAGCAUGUGACUUUCCUAGAUAACACUGCUUUCUCAUAAUAAAGACUGUUUG
This is an RNA transcript of Sapajus apella (tufted capuchin), 1624 nucleotides long. It is a transcript of the gene named protein PIMREG pseudogene, with no coding region annotated. The record is from RefSeq and is a predicted model, not a curated record. NCBI's taxonomy places the organism in Eukaryota, Metazoa, Chordata, Mammalia, Primates, Cebidae. The transcript has a single exon.